This 3971-nucleotide unclassified non-coding RNA is filed under the name Thrips palmi. RNAcentral describes it as "uncharacterized LOC117649170, transcript variant X4". Lineage: Eukaryota; Metazoa; Arthropoda; Insecta; Thysanoptera; Thripidae. The record is from RNAcentral.
GGUCUGGCGGGUGGCGCCUACACUGCGGUCACAGUUGAGAGGCGAAGACCUGAGUGCGCGUUUCCAACAUGGUUUUCGUCGCAUUACAAAACAUCCUCACCGCCAUCUGGGCACUUGGUCGCGUCGUCAGCAUCGCUGCUGAGGCAGUGUGCCCGCCACUGCGGUCUCUCACGGUGCGGGUGGAGUGCGUCCGGGGCUCCGAGCGCGUCAACUGCACGGAGCAGCCCUCCGCUCCAGGAACGGUGGCCAACUUCAAGUGCAAGGACUUACACCAGCUGGUGUUCGACUUCCAGCCUCCCGCCGGCUUCGAGUCUCACUGUGGCUCGGAUGGCGAGUGGAGCGUCCUGCCGUUUCGCUGCGCGCCAAUUUGCGGUCGUCCAACGGGGAAGCUGACGGCGCUGGUGCGUGAUGGAGAAGUUGUAACUUCCGCCGCGGACUUCCCAUGGCACGUGACGGUGUACGACAAGGAGCAGAACAUGAGGCAAAUCUGUGGCGGCUCCCUCGUCUCGCCUAAGUUCUUCGUGUCCGCGGCCCACUGCUUCUACUUCGAGAACCCCACCACCGAACCCCAACGCCUACCCGCCGAACGGUUCAUGGCAGGCUUCGCAAAGACAAAUAUCAACGCUAACGUGACCGAGCUAGGGGCGCAGUUCCGGGCGGUGUCGCAUAUUCACACUAAGAACUACGGCGGCGUGAAGCUCCACUACGCUAACGACAUCGCGCUGCUGGAGCUGGAGAGCGAGGUGGCCGUGACUGCCUGGACGUUACCUGUGUGCGUCGACUGGAAUGGGGACCUGCCGGACCUACGCGGUGGCGAGGAGGGCACAGUUGUCGGGUUCGGCCAAACUUUGCUGCGAAGUGAAAACCUGUGCUACGCCAGGUUGCCGUACAUGGAAAGGGAAGUGUGCCAGCAACUCGUCGGCAAAAGUUUUGAAAUCUACAACACUAUGCCCGACAAGUUCUGCGUGGGAUACGUCAACAACACAACCGUGGCCAAAGGUGACAGUGGGGGAGGUAUGGCCUUCCCCUACAGGGACCGCGCGUGGUACCUUCGCGGUGUGGUGUCCGUCGGGAGCGUCUCGAAGAUUACGCUCUCCUUUUUCACCAACGUGACGACCUUCUUGCCGUGGAUGUCCGGCUUCGUCCAAAAGGGCGUGCUGAGUGCGCGCCACUGCGGCGUGGACGUGGCCGAGUCCGACGUCGUGGACGGCGCCACAGCGGGCCGCCAGGACUUCCCCUGGGAGGUGGACGUGUACUUGAAGCAAACCUCGGGCCAUGCUUUCGAGAGGCUGUGGUCUGGCGUCCUAAUCAAGCCAAACUUGGUCAUCACCUCGAAAAAGCAGAACCUGGGUAGGAGUGAUAACCUUCUAUUGCGCUUGAUUUUCCUGACUGAAUACCCGGCGUCCGCAUUCCGAGUUGCUUCGCGCCGAAACGCCCAUUCCUCUCUGACUCUGGACGGCACUUCGGGUUAUGUGAGUGAGGUUCUGCGCCUGAUCGAACCGAAGGACGUGCAAACCUACGCCGGCCGCUACGACUUCAUCGUCCUGGAGCUGAAGCAGCCCCUGAACCUGAUGCCGGUGUGCGUGGACUGGACGGGCAGCGCCCAACUACAAAAGCAACGUGUGGGAACGACCUUUUUCGAGACGCCGUCGAAGAACAGUCGCAUGUGGAAACGAUUAUCACUCCUGAAGGGCAACGGUACCCAGUGCAACUUUGCUAGCUUCUACUUUUGCACUUUCCAUCAAGGAAUGGAACCAGCCCAUCGAUCGCGCAGCAUCUUGGUCAAUGUUUACGACUCGUGGUACUUGAGGGGCGUUUGGGGCAUAAGCUCAGAUACAAGCACUCCUCGGGACGGAAACGGUUCUCUGGCAUUGUUCACGGAGAUGUCUGACCCGGAUGUGUUGCGGUUUCUGGUUGAAAUCAAGGACAGGUUAGGCAAGCCCACGUGCGGAAACGUCAACCUCUGCGAGCCGCUACUGGGGCUGAAGCAACGGCCCGGGCACAUGCCGUGGAACGUGGCGGUGGCAGGCAGGGGAGGCGAAGUCGUCGGGUCAGGGCUGCUACUGCAUCCAAAGCUCGUGGUCACAGCUCGCGUGAUCCUGAAAGCAGCCCCGGGUGGGACGACGGUCAACAAUUUCUCCCCCAACACUCAGAGAAAAAUUAUGGUGUACAGUACAGAACAGGACGGCACAACAAAAGCAGCAUCGGUGGUUCGGGUGGCCAUGUACGGGGAGAGCACUUGGAGCAUAGGCAGUAGUCGCAACCCCGUGCUCUUGGAGCUGGCUGCCGAGGACGCCAUCUUCUCCACGCCGGUGUGCCUGGACCUCAGCGGUAACGUGCUGCAACCGCUUGUUCCAGGACUGGUAGGGUUGGUAGAGCGGUGGGGCGAGACGCAGCCAGCGAACCACAGUAUGAUUGGCGUGCCAUAUCUGGGUCUGGAUGAGUGCGUCAGAAAACAGGCUGACUACGACAGAGACGUGGCAGCGAGCGAUCUGUUCUGUACGGAAGGACCAAAUGGCUCCAUCGGUAACAAGACGCAAGGUGGCGGUUUCCUGGUGAACACCAACUCCCUGUGGUACUUGCAGGGACUGUAUGUGGAUUAUGUGGUGCAGCGUUCAUCCGACCUGCUACUGGCCGCAGACAUGAGCAACGAGAAGUUGCGGUCCUGGUUGGGUCAGGAGAUGAAGAAACUGGAGAACCCAAAAGAGGAGCGCAUUGCCGACCAGGGACCAAAGAACUGCCAGUACGGGCGGCCUGACAUAUCUCAUUGCGGCGUGUUCGUGUCCGUGAACGAGCACCCCGAGGACGAUGGCUUCGACCUCUACAGCAGGGCGUCGUCCGACCACAUGCGGUGGAACGUCCACGUGCUCGUGGACUACGAUGCCAACGGCUGGAUCUGGAGCAUGCAUGGAGGCGCCUUGAUCAAGCCCAACAUGGUUCUCACGACUGCCAGGCACCUCGUCGUCGCGAGCGCGGCUUCAAACAACACCGUGGAGCCGAUUCCUACCAGCGCUGUGCUCGUCAAGUACACUCCCGUGGACCGCAGGGAACGGCGCACCGCAGAGGUGCAGCGAAUCCACAUCCGAGCGCGACCCAGGGCCCAGCCUCAGGACUCCACCCACGACCUCGCCGUGCUUGUGCUCAAGACCGCCGUGCCCCUCACGCCCGUGUGCUUGCCGUUGCCGGCUGGCAGCGUGCCGCGGCUCGCAGCGGGUUCGGUUGGCCUGGUUGAGUACAAUGCCGACAGCAUCGACUCUGCAAGCAUCAACUCGUUGGUGCCCGUCCACUACCGCACCACGGACGAGUGCAAUGGCCUCCUCAAUUCCACCAACGCGGUUUCAUGGGCUGAGGACGAAUUCUGCGCUGAGACUUAUUUCGUGGACAUGAAUGAGGGUGACGCAGCUGGGAUCGCGCCAAUGGGCUACGCGCUUUCCGUCAUGACCAACGGCCGGUGGUAUCUCCGCGGCGUGUUGAGCAGCUCACGGCGGGGAGACAUUCACUUAUUUGCUAGCCUGGAUGACCCCGACGUUCUCGAGUGGCUGGUCGCCGUCGGUCACUUCGCCAUUCCGGAGGGCGAAGCAGGUGGGAAGCUGGGCCAAGGGACCUCCAGGACCAGCGCGAGCACUCCGUCCGCGACGGAAAUGACCAUUUUGGCGCCGAGGAACGACGUGCCUACAACGCCGCGCACUGAUGCGCCUCGACGCGAGAUGCCAACAUCCUGGUGGUUCCCAAUGGGCGGAGGAACGACUCCGGCGACGUCCGGCUAAAGACCGCAGAUAUGCUGUACGUGGUGUGGGUUAGCCCCAAAGGAAAGAAGACGAAGGUUGAGGUGACCUCCCUGCAAGUGCACGAGAGCGACCACGCACCAGCCCGCGACCGUGCUUGGGACCUGGGCCUGUUGGUGCUCAAGACCCCCAUCAAGAAUGGUGUCUUCCCCUGCCUCGACCUGGACGGCUCCGCGCCAAAUCAGC